GAUGAACGCUAGCGGCAGGCUUAAUACAUGCAAGUCGUGGGGCAGCAGGACUGUAGCAAUACAGUUGCUGGCGACCGGCAAACGGGUGCGGUACACGUACGCAACUUACCCUGAACUGGGGGAUAGCCCGGGGAAACCAGAAUUAAUACCCCGUAAUAUAAUGGAGUGGCAUCCUUUUAUUAUUAAAGCUCCGGCGGUUCGGGAUGGGCGUGCGGCUGAUUAGGUGGUUGGUUGAGGUAACGGCUCACCGAGCCUACGAUCAGUAACUGGUGUGAGGGCACGACCAGUCGCACGUGAACUGAGACACGGGCCCGUCUCCUACGGGAGGCAGCAGAAAGGAAGAAUGGGGACUGAAGGCAGCUCUAACCCAGCCAUGCCGCGUGAGGGAUGCAGGCCCUCGGAGUUGUAAACUUCUUUUGUAGAGGGCGAAACCUGUGUAUUCUUACGCAGUUGACGGUACCCUAGGAAUAAGCACCGGCUAACUCCGUG
RNAcentral lists this ribosomal RNA (489 nucleotides) under uncultured bacterium. RNAcentral describes it as "partial 16S ribosomal RNA". It matches the Rfam family "Bacterial small subunit ribosomal RNA", at positions 28 to 507 of the family's 1533-position model. The record is from RNAcentral.